GAUGAACGCUGGCGGCGUGCCUAAUACAUGCAAGUCGAGCGAACAGACGAGGAGCUUGCUCCUCUGACGUUAGCGGCGGACGGGUGAGUAACACGUGGAUAACCUACCUAUAAGACUGGGAUAACUUCGGGAAACCGGAGCUAAUACCGGAUAAUAUAUUGAACCGCAUGGUUCAAUAGUGAAAGACGGUUUUGCUGUCACUUAUAGAUGGAUCCGCGCCGCAUUAGCUAGUUGGUAAGGUAACGGCUUACCAAGGCAACGAUGCGUAGCCGACCUGAGAGGGUGAUCGGCCACACGGGAACUGAGACACGGUCCAGACGCCUACGGGAGGCAGCAGUAGGGAAUCUUCCGCAAUGGGCGAAAGCCUGACGGAGCAACGCCGCGUGAGUGAUGAAGGUCUUCGGAUCGGAAAACUCUGUUAUUAGGGAAGAACAAAUGUGUAAGUAACUAUGCACGUCUCGACGGUACCUAAUCAGAAAGCCACGGCUAACUACGUG
Molecule: ribosomal RNA, 497 nt
Filed under: uncultured bacterium
Lineage: Bacteria
Description: partial 16S ribosomal RNA
Rfam family: Bacterial small subunit ribosomal RNA
Source: RNAcentral